RNAcentral lists this ribosomal RNA (496 nucleotides) under uncultured bacterium. RNAcentral's name for it is "partial 16S ribosomal RNA". It matches the Rfam family "Bacterial small subunit ribosomal RNA", at positions 28 to 506 of the family's 1533-position model. The record is from RNAcentral.
GAUGAACGCUGGCGGCGUGCCUAAUACAUGCAAGUCGAGCGAACAGACGAGGAGCUUGCUCCUCUGACGUUAGCGGCGGACGGGUGAGUAACACGUGGAUAACCUACCUAUAAGACUGGGAUAACUUCGGGAAACCGGAGCUAAUACCGGAUAAUAUAUUGAACCGCAUGGUUCAAUAGUGAAAGACGGUUUUGCUGUCACUUAUAGAUGGAUCCGCGCCGCAUUAGCUAGUUGGUAAGGUAACGGCUUACCAAGGCAACGAUGCGUAGCCGACCUGAGAGGGUGAUCGGCCAAACUGGAACUGAGACACGGUCCAGACUCCGACGGGAGGCAGCAGUAGGGAAUCUUCCGCAAUGGGCGAAAGCCUGACGGAGCAACGCCGCGUGAGUGAUGAAGGUCUUCGGAUCGUAAACCUCUGUUAUUAGGGAAGAACAAAUGUGUAAGUAACUAUGCACGUCUUGACGGUACCUAAUCAGAAAGCCACGGCUAACUACGU